This 621-nucleotide ribosomal RNA is filed under the name uncultured bacterium. Its description in RNAcentral is "bacterial SSU rRNA". The stretch from base 1 to 537 matches the Rfam family "Bacterial small subunit ribosomal RNA", at positions 338 to 873 of the family's 1533-position model. The record is from RNAcentral.
CCUACGGGAGGCAGCAGUGGGGAAUUUUGGACAAUGGGCGCAAGCCUGAUCCAGCAAUGCCGCGUGAGUGAAGAAGGCCUUCGGGUUGUAAAGCUCUUUUGUCAGGGAAGAAACGGUCUACUCUAAUACAGUGGGCUAAUGACGGUACCUGAAGAAUAAGCACCGGCUAACUACGUGCCAGCAGCCGCGGUAAUACGUAGGGUGCAAGCGUUAAUCGGAAUUACUGGGCGUAAAGCGUGCGCAGGCGGUUAUAUAAGUCAGAUGUGAAAUCCCCGGGCUCAACCUGGGAACUGCAUUUGAGACUGUAUGGCUAGAGUGUGUCAGAGGGGGGUAGAAUUCCACGUGUAGCAGUGAAAUGCGUAGAUAUGUGGAGGAAUACCGAUGGCGAAGGCAGCCCCCUGGGAUAACACUGACGCUCAUGCACGAAAGCGUGGGGAGCAAACAGGAUUAGAUACCCUGGUAGUCCACGCCCUAAACGAUGUCUACUAGUUGUCGGGACUUAAUUGUNUUGUACGUCNGCACGCGUGAGUAGACGCCGUCGGAGGUACGGUCGCGAGAGUAAACGUAACGAAGUAGAGUAGUAGCGUGAGAGUAGACGACGGACGACGACGAGGGAGGAGG